UACGAAGGGAGCAAACGUUGCUCGGAAUCAUUGGGCGUAAAGCGCACGUAGGCGGCUUUGCAAGUCGGGUGUGAAAUCCCGGGGCUCAACCGAGGACGUGCAUCCGAAACAGCAGGGCUUGAGUACAGAAGAGGAUGGCGGAAUUCCCAGUGUAGAGGUGAAAUUCGUAGAUAUCAGGAGGAACACCAGUGGCGAAGGCGGCGAUCUGGGCUGAUACUGGCGCUGAGGUGCGAAAGCGUGGGGAGCAAACAGG
This 253-nucleotide ribosomal RNA is filed under the name uncultured bacterium. Its description in RNAcentral is "partial 16S ribosomal RNA". It matches the Rfam family "Bacterial small subunit ribosomal RNA", at positions 524 to 776 of the family's 1533-position model. The record is from RNAcentral.